AGUGAACGCUGGCGGUAGGCCUACCACAUGCAAGUCGAACGGCAGCACAGUAAGAGCUUGCUCUUACGGGUGGCGAGUGGCGGACGGGUGAGGAAUACAUCGGAAUCUACUUUUUCGUGGGGGUUAACGUAGGGAAACUUACGCUAAUACCGCAUACGACCUACGGGUGAAAGCAGGGGAUCUUCGGACUUUGCGCGAUUGAAUGAGCCGAUGUCGGAUUAGCUAGUUGGCGGGGUAAAGGCACACCAAGGCGACGAUCCGUAGCUGGUCUGAUAGGAUGAUAGGCCACACUGGAACUGAGACACGGUCCAGACUCCUACGAGAGGCAGCAGUGGGGAAUGUUGGACAAAAGGCGCAAACCUGAUCCAGCCAGACCACGUGGGUGAAGAAGGCCUUCCGGUUGUAAAGCCCUUUUGUUGGGAAAGAAAAGCAGCAGGUUAAUACCCAGCUGUUCUGACGGUACCCAAAGAAUAAGCACCGGCUAACUUCGUG
Molecule: ribosomal RNA, 492 nt
Filed under: uncultured bacterium
Lineage: Bacteria
Description: partial 16S ribosomal RNA
Rfam family: Bacterial small subunit ribosomal RNA
Source: RNAcentral